ACAGUACAAACUGAUCAGGCAGUACCGAUAAGGUAUGUAGCCGGGCUGUGAAUACAGCAGCAGAAUGAGCAUACGGCACAUCUGCGGGACAGU
This 93-nucleotide non-coding RNA is filed under the name uncultured Bulleidia sp. RNAcentral's name for it is "NiCo riboswitch". It matches the Rfam family "NiCo (Nickel/Cobalt) riboswitch aptamer". Lineage: Bacteria; Bacillati; Bacillota; Erysipelotrichia; Erysipelotrichales; Erysipelotrichaceae. The record is from RNAcentral.